Molecule: ribosomal RNA, 332 nt
Filed under: uncultured bacterium
Lineage: Bacteria
Description: bacterial SSU rRNA
Rfam family: Bacterial small subunit ribosomal RNA
Source: RNAcentral
CGUGUAGGCGGUCAUGCAAGUCAGAUGUGAAAGCCUUCCGCUUAACGGGAGAAGUGCAUUUGAAACUGCAUGACUGGAGUACGGGAGAGGAGAGUGGAAUUCCCGGUGUAGAGGUGAAAUUCGUAGAUAUCGGGAGGAACACCAGUGGCGAAGGCGGCUCUCUGGCCUGAUACUGACGCUGAGACGCGAAAGCGUGGGGAGCAAACAGGAUUAGAUACCCUGGUAGUCCACGCCGUAAACGAUGGGCACUAGGUGUAGGAGGUAUUGACCCCUUCUGUGCCGAAGCUAACGCAUUAAGUGCCCCGCCUGGGGAGUACGGCCGCAAGGUUAAA